This 540-nucleotide long non-coding RNA is filed under the name Eucalyptus grandis. Its description in RNAcentral is "long non-coding RNA (EGRA_LNC006957)". The record is from RNAcentral. Lineage: Eukaryota; Viridiplantae; Streptophyta; Magnoliopsida; Myrtales; Myrtaceae.
CGGUGAGUCCAUGGCGACGGCGGCACGAAGGCGACCAAGACCCCUAUCUUCGGCGGCUCCAAAGGAGGCCCAAAUGAGGUUGAAAAUAGCCAACAAGCUUGCUGCUUGAGCUGGGAAACCAAUUCUCAGCUGAGCUGGGCGAACCAGCUGCUGGUCAUUGGCAUUGGCUGGGCGUGGGGUUGCUCUACUGCUGGAGUUGGAACGCUGAACAGUGGCUUGCGGGUUGAGCGGCACGAGGAGCUGGUCGCAUUUGCUAGCCUUGCUGCCCUUAUUGGACUGGCUGCUGGAAUUGCUGGCUUGCGGCAACAAAACAAAAGGAAAGGGCCUGGUGAAGGAGAGGGACGUGAGGUGAGAGUUUGCUGGGUUGAAGUGUUGCUGGUGUGACUGAAAUUGGAGGCUGUGGCAGCCGAGUGUGAAGCUUUGGUGGAUGCUAGCAUUAUAUGGAGGGGUGAGGGCUGGUGACGUGAAGGGGUGAAGAAACGUGAGAUGGAGAGAGUGGAGGGGAAGAAAGAUGAACACGUGAAAGGGAAAUGGAGUGGG